This is a long non-coding RNA of Apis florea (little honeybee), 4446 nucleotides long. NCBI's taxonomy places the organism in Eukaryota, Metazoa, Arthropoda, Insecta, Hymenoptera, Apidae. The record is from RefSeq and is a predicted model, not a curated record.
UAAUUUUAAAUUCUGUUCUUAUUAAAUUUAAUUAGCAUAAUUUUUGGUGGUCGGUCGGGGCGCAACUUUCUUACGCCGUAGCCUCUCUGUUAAUUUACUUCACGUCACAAGCUUAUUAAACAUUAUUUAAAAGGUUAGAGAGAAUACAGGAAUACAAAAUAUUCUCAAACAACGCGAAAGAUUACAAAGGCAUUCUUAAUAUGCAAGCCUUUAGGGAAUACAAAGGAUUUUCAUUGUAAAAAAAAAGAAUAACAAAAAAAUAUUACUCAGAAUAUUAAGCAACGCUCUCAAAGAGCCAUUAACCCAUUUUUCUGAAACCAUGAUGUGAACACACGACCUCCCCAUCACGAGAGAAAAUUCAUCAAAAUUAAAAUACUUCAAAAAAAACCGAUUAUCCACGGUUCGAUCCUCUUUUUCAAUUCCUCCAAUUUCUGUUUAGCCUAACAUUUCCAAAUCGAAAAUUUCUCUUUUAGAAUAAAUCCUCUUUAAUGGCGGCAUUAAUCUCGGGACGAUUCGAAUUUUUCGAACCGUCGUAAAACCAGCGCCAGUGGAAAAUUUGAUGGCCACGCUUGAACAUUUUUACGCGGCCCUAAAGUCCACGACGACGACGACGAUGAAAGCCCUGUGCGCGCCAUCACACGGAUUUCCCGUCCCGUCGUUCGACCAUGGAUCCUUUGAUAACUCUCUCGAGUUCGUUAUUCGAAACGUUAUUACAAGGUGGAAACGGUGGGCCAGACGGUGGGAGACCCCGCGCGCGGAAGAUAUUGUCUGGCCCGCCGCGAGUUAAACGUUUCGCGGUAUCGCGACAGCGGGGUUGUAAAACAGGGUGAUCCCGAUAAUGGAAAAUUUGAUAAAGCUGGGAUACGCCCCGAGUUUUAUGUCCUCGGUGGAGACGGUCCUUUGUGCCACGGCAUUCUAGACAGAGGCUGGCAGAGAUUGAUUGUAACUUGGUUUUUGUGUGUUUGGUACGUCCUGGUUCCUUGUCUUUUUUUGACAUGUUUACGGGGGAGGAGGAUGAGUUGACAAGUCUUUUAGGGCGAGAGUUUGUUGUGGCCGAGAGAAAGGUUUUCGUUAUUCGUUCCUUGCGGGAGCGGAUAACGUAAAUUGUUUUCUUUUUUUUUUUACGUUGCGAUGGAGAUUGGGAUUGGAUUAAUUAAAGCGAAAGGUUUCAAAGAUUCAGAGCCGCCUCUUAGCAAAAUUACCCAGCAAGAAUUAAGACGGUGGCUUACGUCAUUAAGAAUAUUAUAAAGCAACGUUUAUACUUAGAUCACUUUAUAUAUGUUUAUUGUUAUUCGUAUUACAUUUAAAAAAGAGUGAGAUUGAAUAAUUUUAGGCCUCUGUAUUACUCUUCACACGAAUACGAUAACGGACGAACGAUAGCAUCGAGUCACAAGUAAAAUUUGAACUUCUCGUGUGAAAAACGCGAGAAAAAAUUAAAGAUAUUGUCGUCGAAACGAGGUCGGGAAAUAGAGAAAAGCAUGCCGUUGAAGUCACUUUUUGAAUUAUCCCGAUAUCUCAAUCGGUUGCCGAGAUACAAGGCUUCGAAGUUUCCGUAGCGGGGUAGAGAUUAUGAAUGGGGCUCGGACUGACCUACAUUCUUUCCUGGAAAUGCGCGCUACGCCCUUCCAGGAAUCGCAUGCUACGUUUUUCCAGGAAUCGCGUCUGCCCGCUUGUCUGCAGUUUGGGAUAGGUCAGUGAGACGAAGUGCGAGCGAGAAGUUCGUAUAAGGGACAAGGAAGGAGAUGGUAAACGAUUAAAAAAUUACCCUUUCCUUUGCACGACGAUAUCUCGGGAACCGGAAGUCGUAUCGGGAUAAAUGAAAAAGCGUUUUAAAGGGGAAGGUUGCGCGCUUCUAACGAUCGUUCACACGUCGACCGGAAGUUAUUAUCUUCGGAGUUAUAGCGGUUCAAAGUUUUCCUAAUUUUAAUCGGAUUUAAUCGGGGUUAAGGUAUACGAUUAAAAAUUACUUUUUCUUUGUACGAAGAUAUCUCUGGAACCGGAACUCGUAUCGGGAUAAAUGAAAAGACGUUUUAAAAAGCAGGAAUCCUUGCUUCCGAUGAUCAUUUACUCAUUGAUCAGAUGUCAUUAUUUUCGAAGUUACAGUGGUUUAAAGUUUUCCUAAUUUUAAUAGAGUUUAAUCGGUUUUUACGUUAAAUUAUGUAAUAAAUAUGUUUAUUUCUGAGAAAAUAUUGUUUGUAAUUAUAUGAUAAAUACGUAUAUAUACUUGAAGAUUAUAAAUUGAAUUUCCAGAAGAGAUUGGUGGAUCGAUAUAUAUAUAUAAAAUUUAAAUUAAAGGAAGAGAGAAGAAGGAUAAUGGUAUUUUUACUUGACAGAAUGCAGUUUAUCUCAAUUUCUGUAAUUAUUACAAUUCUUCUUACUUAUAUUUAAUUGAAAUCUAUUUUAAAUCGAUAAAAAGAGUUAAAUCUAUUUUAUUAAAUUUUCAAUCCUUUUUUCCAAAGGGAAAAAGAAGGUGGGAAAUUUUUGUUCUGCUUGAGACAAAAUAUGAAUUUUGUCAAGCUGAAUGCAAGUGAAAUUGUUUUGCAAAAACAAUACAAAAUAUGAAAUGAAACGAAAUUGAUGGUUCUUUGAUGGAUAGAAAGUAAAUGAAUUUUCCUUUGUUUCCCCCAUGUUUUUAAUCUUCAGAAGUUAUAGUUUUUGUAUACGUUAUACAAUUUUCUGAUUGAAAUCGCAUUGAAAAUAUUCCAGUGUUAGUCAGUACAAAGAUAUAAAGUGCGAUUACACAGUUUUAAUAAUUAAAUUUAUAAUUGUUGAAAAAGAUUUAAUUAAAUCUUCAUUUACCAUGCGCAAAACUGAACAAAUAAAAGAAGUGGAACUAUAUUGUUUCACGUUGGAAAUAUGCGCGGAAAAUGAAGUUUCAUUAAAUUCACGCAGUUUUUUCUUCUUUCCGUUAUAAUACUUAUUUACCUUACUCUCGGGAAGUAGGCAACGAACAAUGAAACGAAAUCAAAUCUUUUUAAUAUCUCAGAUUAUGUAUCUCUAUAAUUUAAAUAUAAUUUUUUUCAUCUUCAAAUCCUAUCUUUCUUCGUUCCAAAUCCCAAUUUUUUCCUCGUAAUAUUAAUUUUCCUUGUUUCCAAUUUUCAAUAUUUCAAUUGUUCAACUUUCAAACUCUCCUAUUUUCCAUAUACCAAAGUUCUAAUCUUCCACAUCUUUCCAAAAUUCCAAAUUCCUAUCUUCUACAUUUCCAAUCCUAAUUUCUUACUCGAGUUUUUUAAAUUCGUAUCAUAGAAUACAGUUCCAAAUAUUUUCGAAAAAUUUUAUAAUUUUUCAAUUUUUAAUAUAAAUAUAAAUGAAUAAAAGUGUAAAUCAUAAAUAAAAUUCUAAAAGUGCUAACAACGAAGUUUCAAUGUUUCUUCGAUUAUUUCUCUCUUUGCUUGCCGUGAAUCGAACCAGUUUACCAUGAGUGAGAUUUAUUAAUCAUGGUAACCGUAUGAUUCGUGCAAAUAUUGAUCCUUCCAUGAUCCACAAUCCUGGUUCUUCCGGUUGUUUCAUGCUCCAGUUUCCGGAGUAUCGUAAAAGAAAAAGAAAAAUUGACAAAAGAAUUGACACGGAAAAUUCGUGACUCUUGUUUAUUGUAAAUAAAAUUGAGUAGAAUUUAACAAUUUAUCAUCCAAUUGUUUCACAAUUAGAGAAGAUUAUUAUGGAAAGAUUGAGAUCAUAAAAGGAUGAAGAAAAUAUUGAUUCGAAGAGAAAUAUGGAAAUUUUGAAAUUUGAAUUGUAAAAUUAAAUGUUUUGGUACAAAUGAAAUAAUGGAAACUUUUUAAUAUAGAUAUUUUUAUACAAUUGGAAAUUAUUAAAAGAUACAGAUAGAUUAAAACGCGUAGUUAAAUUUUCAGAGGUUAAUAAAAAAUUACAUGUAAAAUAUAAGUUUAAUUUGCAAAAUCUUCCACGCGUAAUGCGCCGCAAUUUGCGAUUCAUAAACUUGUUGAAUUGUUAAUUAAUCGCGUACAAGGAAACAACAGAAUAAAAUUAAUGUAAUUUAAACAUUUUCUUUUUUUUUUUUUUAUCAUUAUGAGUUGUGGAAUAUAAUAAAAUAUACAUAUCGAGAUUUCAUAUUUAUAUCAUCGAAUAUCAUCGAAGAUUGAUCAAAUUCACAAAAUUUUUCAUGCGAAAGCAUAUCAUGAUUUUCGAAAGAAAAAAAAAAAAAAAUAAUCGAAAAUCUGAUCAACAUUUCCACUUAAUAACGAUUAAAAUGAAGUCUCUGUUUUUUAUAGGUAGAAUUAAACGAAGAUAGAAGGUGGAUUUAUGAACGGAAUAUUUCAAAAAAUAUUUCAAUAAAUAUUACAAUUUUAAAUGUUAAAAAUAAAAAAUGAAUUUGGAAACGUCAAACAUUCCACGCAGAAUUUCGAAAGAAUCAUUCCGUUGAAACGUGUUCCCUGUUCUUUAUUUGAGAAGAAAGUUGCCUCUAAAUAGGAAAAAAAAAAAAAA